Molecule: ribosomal RNA, 253 nt
Filed under: uncultured bacterium
Lineage: Bacteria
Description: partial 16S ribosomal RNA
Rfam family: Bacterial small subunit ribosomal RNA
Source: RNAcentral
UACAGAGGUCCCAAGCGUUGUUCGGAUUCAUUGGGCGUAAAGGGUGCGUAGGCGGCGCGGUAAGUCGGAUGUGAAAUCUCGGAGCUUAACUUCGAAACUGCCUUUGAUACUGGCGGUCUCGAGUCCGGGAGAGGUGAGUGGAACUGCGAGUGUAGAGGUGAAAUUCGUAGAUAUUCGCAAGAACACCAGUGGCGAAGGCGGCUCACUGGCCCGGUACUGACGCUGAGGUGCGAAAGCGUGGGGAGCAAACAGG